This 440-nucleotide ribosomal RNA is filed under the name uncultured bacterium. RNAcentral describes it as "partial 16S ribosomal RNA". It matches the Rfam family "Bacterial small subunit ribosomal RNA", at positions 338 to 795 of the family's 1533-position model. The record is from RNAcentral.
CCUACGGGACGCAGCAGUGGGGAAUAUUGCACAAUGGGGGAAACCCUGAUGCAGCGACGCCGCGUGAGUGAAGAAGUAAUUCGGUAUGUAAAGCUCUGUCAGCAGGGAAGAAAAUGACGGUACCUGAGUAAGAAGCCCCGGCUAACUACGUGCCAGCAGCCGCGGUAAUACGUAGGGGGCAAGCGUUAUCCGGAUUUACUGAGUGUAAAGGGAGCGUAGACGGCAGGGCAAGUCUGGAGUGAAAGGCGGGGGCUCAACCCCCGGACUGCUCUGGAAACUGUACGGCUGGAGUGCAGGAGAGGUAAGUGGAAUUCCUAGUGUAGCGGUGAAAUGCGUAGAUAUUAGGAGGAACACCAGUGGCGAAGGCGGCUUACUGGACUGUAACUGACGUUGAGGCUCGAAAGCGUGGGGAGCAAACAGGAUUAGAUACCCUGGUAGUC